GAUAUAUCUUCCGGAUCAUUGCCUUUGUCAAUGCAUCCCCAGUGAGUCAUCUUUCAUCUACCGAUUGUCGGUAAUGAUUGUUUCUCCCUUCGAUUUGGUCAUCAUUUUCCUUUUUACCUAGUAUUUGGUAUCUCGAUGCCCUUCUCUUUCGGUCGAUUUAUCCUUUAUUAACCCAAUAACUGGUUGUGGAUAAUCUUCCAUGCGAGUAUGUUAUCUACGUUCUGACGGUAAUA
Molecule: long non-coding RNA, 233 nt
Filed under: Lathyrus oleraceus (garden pea)
Lineage: Eukaryota; Viridiplantae; Streptophyta; Magnoliopsida; Fabales; Fabaceae
Description: Pisum sativum (pea) long non-coding RNA (PSAT_LNC028746)
Source: RNAcentral